This 246-nucleotide ribosomal RNA is filed under the name uncultured Lactobacillus sp. RNAcentral's name for it is "partial 16S ribosomal RNA". It matches the Rfam family "Bacterial small subunit ribosomal RNA", at positions 116 to 354 of the family's 1533-position model. Lineage: Bacteria; Bacillati; Bacillota; Bacilli; Lactobacillales; Lactobacillaceae. The record is from RNAcentral.
CGUGGGUAACCUGCCCAAGAGAUCGGGAUAACACCUGGAAACAGAUGCUAAUACCGGAUAACAACAGAUGAUGCCUAUCAACUGUUUAAAAGAUGGUUCUGCUAUCACUCUUGGAUGGGCCUGCGGUGCAUUAGCUAGUUGGUAGGGUAACGGCCUACCAAGGCGAUGAUGCAUAGCCGAGUUGAGAGACUGAUCGGCCACAUUGGGACUGAGACACGGCCCAAACUCCUACGGGAGGCAGCAGGU